AUAUGUCAACAUGAUCAGAGGGGAGGGAGCAGGGAGGGAGGAGGGAAGCGCCCGCCUCUAGGGGGGUGCUGGGGGCCGCCUCGCCCCCCGGCCCCGGCCUCCCGCCGCCCGGGCACUGCGCGGCCGCUCUCCCCGGUAGGAGCUUCCCGAGCGCCGGCAGCGGGGGGGUCCCCACGCGUGGCGGUGGGGGGGGUCCGAAGCUGCGUGCCCCCCUUCCCCAAACGCCGCCGGUACCGUAGCGGGGUCCCCCUGUGUCCCCCCCGGGCCCGGAGCCGCCUCGGGAGGCCGCCGCGCCGCACGCCCAUCCCCGCCGGUCCCCGCGGCCGCCGGGCUGGUGCACCCCCCUGCCGCUGCCCCCGCGCCGUGUUCCCCUCCCCGGCAAAGUUGCUUUCUUUCAACGACACCUCCAGGCCGGGAACCGGGCGCUUUCCUUCCCCCCGCCAAUCUGGGGGUGGCUCUGCGGCUCUUCCCCCGCUCGCAGCUCGGCUCCGGCCGCCGCUAUCAUUGUUGUGGUGGGCGCUGGCUCGGCCCCGGCCCCGGCCCCGGCCCCGGCGGCUGCUGAUCGAGGGGGUGCGCGCAGGGAAGCGGGAGGCCGCUGGAAAAUGGGAUUUUAAUGUAUUUAUUAUUCCUUUUUUUCUUUCUUUCUUCGGCGUUGCCGAUGAAGGCCACUCGGCUGGCACCGGCGCCGACAGGGUUACGCUCCCACACCCCUCCUCUUCCACGAGCAAACGCCCGGCGGCCUCAAGAAGUUUGCUGCAAUUUACCCCAAGCGGCGAGCGGGAGGUGCCCGCGGGCUCCCGCGGGACAAGCGCCGCCGCCCCCGGCCCCGCCGCCCCCGGCCCCGCGCCCGCCCCGCCGGAGCGCGCCCCCGGCGCCGCGGCACCGACCGGAGCCGCUGCCGCCCUCCGCACCUUGCGCCGCGCUCCGCACCCACCCGCGCAGGAAAAUAAAAUGUUUGCCGCUUAUGAUUUCCAACUCCAGCGUCUGUCUAAUGGCGUGCAAACUUCCGCCAGUUCCGAGUGACCUCCCCGACGAAGCCCCCCGGAGACUCGUAUUAUGAAGGGAGGCUGCACUAAUCUAAGAUCAAAAGCGGGAAGGUGCGAACAGUCUUUGUCUCCCUUCGGCCGCCUCAUUCCCCCUUCUGUGUGUGAUAAAUCUACCCUGGCGCCGACUGCGCGCUGGAUGAUUAAUUUGCAAGCAAACAAAAGGGACCUGAUGGCCAGCCAUCUUAGUUAAAUAUUGGCCAGUGCUUCCAGCUACUUGUUAGCCUCCUCUUUGCCUGAAAUAAAUAAGCGAGACGCAGGAGUAAAUAAAUAAGGAGACCCGCAAAAAUGAAUGGCAAAGCGAAGGGAUGGCACUGGAGUAAGGGAAAAAAAAAAAAAAAAAAAAAAAAAAAAAAAAAGAGAUCAGGGUGGCUGACGGUGAAGCGGGAGCGGGUGGAGGUGGGAAUGGGGCUGGUGGCGGGGGGAGCCAGGGUGAUAGCACGCUGAGAUAGCCGGCUGCCCCCGCGCCUCCCGGCCUGUCUACAGCCUGGGCUUGCACCAAGGCCGACACUAUCUUGGCUCUUCAAAGAGGCAUGAAAGGUCUCUGCUGUCUCCCCGGAGAGCGGCCAGGCCGGGGCUCUCUAAUCUCGUAGCACAAGAGCUAAAGGCCAGGGCAGGGGGAGCGGCUCCCACCCUCCCGAGCUCUUCUUCACUCCACCAUCGCCAGCACCUCGAUGGGUUUUCCCCGGCUGGAUCCAGAGCCCGGGUCUGUGGUGGCUGAGCGGCUGGGAGAGCUCCGCUUCCUCGGAUUUCACCCUCCUAAGCAACUUUUAGCGUUUGCACGAGAGCUCGGCGCUGCAGCGAGCAUUCCCCGAGCGUAUGUGUUCGAGGGGUGGGAGGAGAGAGGCUUUGGCUCUCUCCCGGUGGCCUGAAGAGCCAGCUGGAGGAAGGAGGCAAGAGGAACAUAAAGGCAGCCCAGCUUUCAGGCCCACACGUCCUCUCCCAGGCCUGCGGGAGCAGCUCCGAGGCGUGUGUGCGUGCGUGGAGGGGCUCUGUGCGCUCCACGGCCUCUGCGGAGAUGCUGUGGGCGUGUGGCACCGGGAGGGAUUCGUGCCCUGGGGCACACCGCCAAUCCCCGCUGCACAGCAGCCCCUGAGGUGUCCCUGACACCCCCUCCAUGCCCUGGAUGCUCUGCAGGAAAGAACAAGCCUCGGUGCAUGGUGAGCAGGGCCAACGUGCACAGCCUAAGUGGGGUUUUGCAUCCUAUCUAUGCAUUUCCUUAUCGUGCUGCCUGUUCCAAGCAUCCCCAGGGGCCCAGACCCAUCCUGCCUGCCAGCAGCUCUGCAUCCUGCAGGAUUUAUCCCUCUCCUCCCUCCCUUUCCCACGGCAAUGCAACCUCUGCUCUGUCUCCAGCCCUUCAGAAGGCAACACCCCAGCGUGGCCACGCUGUGUUUAUCCGAAAUAAAACGCAGCGGGCUGGUUUACUUUGGCAGGUUUGCAGUAAAUACUGGCUGGAGCGCAGGGGGCAUCUGGGGAGUGGUGAUUACACGCUUCUUCCGAGGGAAAGUGUGCCCAGCCCCGGGCAGGCCCUUCCCCAGCCCCACAAAAGGUGUCAGGGGAUGGGGGCCCUGUUGACACAGAUCCAUCCCAGAGUGGCACUGCAGGCCACAAGUGUAAUGGAGCAGCUCCCUUAGGGAGCUCGUCUAUACACUUGGAUCGUACAAGCUGCUAUGGGGAGAGUGGGGAAUCACUGCAGCAGUUCUUUGCUUUCCCCUUUGGCAGAACACUUCCUCCAAUUGCAAAUUGGAUUUCACGGAAAGUCUGGCCCAAAAACUUAAAAAAAUAAUCUCCCAGAGUUUAAAAAAGCAUUGUGAGGCAUUAAAAAUAUUGAGAAUUAAGUCUCCCAUGUCUCCCUCCCUGAGCAGGCUCAGCCCCAUCGUGUCCCACUGCAAUCAAAGGGGCCUGAACAGAAGAUCCCCCACCAGGGGGAUCAGGCCCCCUUCCCAACACAACCGAGGGCUUUGCAGAGUUGGGGGAAGCCCAGACGCAGCAUUGCUUGUUGUAAUUCUGGGGGGAAAAAGAGAGGAAGGCACCACUUGGAGAGGUUUCUCCUCCAGCACCUCUCACUGGGAUGCAGUGUCAGGGGAAGGCUGCUCGUGGCCCAGCCUGGUGGGAGCGGUGCAGCACUGAGUGUGGCAGAGGCACCGUGGGGUCAGGCAGUGCUGUCCCCAGCACGGGGUCACCACCAUGCUGGCACUGAGCAGCCCUUCACAGCCCCCAACCCCCUCACUCCUCCUGGCACCCAGAGCCCGGUCGGGAUCCUGCCAAAACAUCGGGGCUCCAGGUGCUCACAUCACCAGCCCUGCCCCAGUUCCUCCCCUCCUCACAAGACCUGCGUUCAUCUCAUCCCCAUCCCAGCUGCUCUGACAUUCUCCAGUUGCCUCCACUGUGUCCCAGACUGGAAAAGAAAAGAAAGGAGCACCCAGAGCUGCCUGCUGCAGCUCUCCCCUCUGCCUCGGGCCAGGCCCAGCCUCACCGACCAAGGCAUGUCAGGGCACAGCAAGGUUUGGGGCUGGACCUCUUCCCUCCCAAGCUCACAUCCCUUUUUACCUUUUCUGAGUCCUUUUUGCACCAUUCAGCUUCUGCUUGCCACAAACCAACACCCUCUGCACUCACAGAUCUGGCGACCCUUUCCACCCCCUGGUCUUGUUCUUCUCACCAAUGUGUUGCUGGCAGAAACAAAAUGAAAGUCCUGUUUCCUCCCUUGCCCUCUCUACACCCAUCCUUCUGCUUCCACCAUCGUUGGCCGAGCAGAAAUUGUAAAUAGAGUUCACUAUUUGGAUAAGGCUUUUUUUUUUUUUAAUACCCAAGCCAUACAUCCAGUUUGCCGCUCAGGAAGUCGCGCUAAUUGUCCUUUCCUAUAGUCAAACAGAUCUAUCUUUUCAAUGCUGUCUUUGUGUCUCUGCGUGCGAGGGAGAAAGAGAGAAUGAGUGGAUAGGUUUAUUCAAUUAUUUAAACACACACACAAGACAACAAGAGGGCCAAGGAGCACCGGUUCCUCCCGCAGAACCCUCCGGCUCUCCAGCCGCGGCGUUGACCCCCACCUCCCCGCAGACCCAGUAGAACAAGGCACUCGAGAGCAAAGAAACCGAUUUUAUCUGCUUUGACCAUCAGCCGUGUUCUUUAACAACCCAGAACCGGAGCCUUUCCCAUCUCCACACGCCCCCCGGGCGUCUCCUCC
This 4224-nucleotide long non-coding RNA is filed under the name Taeniopygia guttata (zebra finch). Its description in RNAcentral is "lncRNA (ENSTGUG00000025846.1)". Lineage: Eukaryota; Metazoa; Chordata; Aves; Passeriformes; Estrildidae. The record is from RNAcentral.